GAACUACUUCGAGAGUUGCGAAAUUCUAUGAGGAAGUGGAUAAACUCGACAGUUUAACAAGGAAUGAGUCUUGAUUUUUGUCUUUAUGGUGACACAGCGAAACCUGUAUUCACUGCAACAAAGUAGCCCUUGUAUGCAACACGAAAGAAAUAUUAUGUUGAUGUUGCCUGGAGGUAGUUCCCUGUAAGUAUCAGUAGCCUAACAACUUGGACAUGAAAACCCUACAACUCUUACUCAACGUGGCAGUAAACAUUUGUGCUUUCUUUCGAUUUGUAAACUAAUCCCCAAAUUAAAAACGGAAUUUAACACGAUUUCUGAAUACAACAAUAUCUGUAUAUCGGGGGAAAAUCUCAUCAGUGAUAAAGUGUAGUCUUUUGUCAAAUGUUUAUUUUUUUUAAAGACACAGUAGAUUACAGGUUUACAGUAAACAGUAGGGGACAGGGUAACCGUCUAAACAUAACAUUAACUAUUUGAGAUAAUCAGUAGCCUGGGCAGUCUACUGUCUGAAUGACAAGGCAUCAUUUCCACAUGUUUCACUCCGGUGAAUUCCGUCUAAAGACCCAAAUAUAUAUAUUUUUUAUAGAAUCAGUGGAAAACUGGUGUGUGUCAGACUGACUCUGAGUUGCAUUUUGACAUUUUAAUAAUAGCAAAGUGAAUCACUGGUCAUAAGAUGGAGUGACAUCAUUGACGCUGUCAUUAUGAUGGUGAGGUUCUCAAGUGAAGAUGUUUUUGAAUGAUUCUGCAAAGGAGUCGGAGCGAAUGGAAUGUUUGAUUAUAUUGUGACACCACUCCACUGAUUCCGCUCCAGCCAUUACCACGAGCCCGUUCUCCCCAAUCAAGGUGCCACCAGCCUCCUUUGGACUAGAUUGUGAUCCAGGGAAUAAUAGGAGGUAGCUUGCGUCAGUGGGGUGUGAGAUCCAGGGAAUAAUGCCAGGUAGCUUGCAUCAGUGGGGUGUGAGAUCCAGGGAGUAAUAGGAGGUAGCUUGCAUCACUGGGGUAUGAGAUCCAGGGAAUAAUAGGAGGUAGCUUGCAUCAGUGGGGUGUGAGAUUCAGGGAAUAAUAGGAGGUAGCUUGCAUCAGUGGGGUGUGAGAUCCAGGGAAUAAUAGGAGGUAGCUUGCAUCAGUGGGGUGUACCUUGCAUCAGUGGGGUGUGAGAUCCAGGGAAUAAUAGGAGGUAGCUUGCGUCAGUGGGGUGUGAGAUCCAGGGAAUAAUAGGAGGUAGCUUGCGUCAGUGGGGUGUGAGAUCCAGGGAAUAAUAGGAGGUAGCUUGCGUCAGUGGGGUGUGGGAUCCAGGGAAUAAUAGGAGGUAGCUUGCGUCAGUGGGGUGUGAGAUCCAGGGAAUAAUAGGAGGUAGCUUGCGUCAGUGGGGUGUGAGAUCCAGGGAAUAAUAGGAGGCAGCUUGCGUCAGUGGGGUGUGAGAUCCAGGGAAUAAUAGGAGGUAGCUUGCGUCAGUGGGGUGUGAGAUCCAGGGAAUAAUAGGAGGUAGCUUGCGUCAGUGGGGUGUGAGAUCCAGGGAAUAAUAGGAGGUAGCUUGCGUCAGUGGGGUGUGAGAUCCAGGGAAUAAUAGGAGGUAGCUUGCGUCAGUGGGGUGUGAGAUCCAGGGAAUAAUAGGAGGUAGCUUGCGUCAGUGGGGUGUGAGAUCCAGGGAAUAAUAGGAGGUAGCUUGCGUCAGUGGGGUGUGAGAUCCAGGGAAUAAUAGGAGGUAGCUUGCGUCAGUGGGGUGUGAGAUCCAGGGAAUAAUAGGAGGUAGCUUGCGUCAGUGGGGUGUGAGAUCCAGGGAAUAAUAGGAGGUAGCUUGCGUCAGUGGGGUGUGAGAUCCAGGGAAUAAUAGGAGGUAGCUUGCGUCAGUGGGGUGUGAGAUCCAGGGAAUAAUAGGAGGUAGCUUGCGUCAGUGGGGUGUGAGAUCCAGGGAAUAAUAGGAGGUAGCUUGCGUCAGUGGGGUGUGAGAUCCAGGGAAUAAUAGGAGGUAGCUUGCGUCAGUGGGGUGUGAGAUCCAGGGAAUAAUAGGAGGUAGCUUGCGUCAGUGGGGUGUGAGAUCCAGGGAGUAAUAUUAGGUAGCUUGCGUCAGUGGGGUGUGAGAUCCAGGGAAUAAUGGCAGAUGGCUUGCGUCAGUGGGGUGUGAGAUCCAGGGAAUAAUAGGAGGUAGCUUGCGUCAGUGGGGUGUGAGAUCCAGGGAAUAAUAGGAGGUAGCUUGCGUCAGUGGGGUGUGAGAUCCAGGGAAUAAUAGGAGGUAGCUUGCGUCAGUGGGGUGUGAGAUCCAGGGAGUAAUAUUAGGUAGCUUGCGUCAGUGGGGUGUGAGAUCCAGGGAAUAAUGGCAGGUAGCUUGCGUCAGUGGGGUGUGAGAUCCAGGGAAUAAUAGGAGGUAGCUUGCGUCAGUGGGGUGUGAGAUCCAGGGAAUAAUAGGAGGUAGCUUGCGUCAGUGGGGUGUGAGAUCCAGGGAAUAAUAGGAGGUAGCUUGCGUCAGUGGGGUGUGAGAUCCAGGGAAUAAUAGGAGGUAGCUUGCGUCAGUGGGGUGUGAGAUCCAGGGAAUAAUAGGAGGUAGCUUGCGUCAGUGGGGUGUGAGAUCCAGGGAAUAAUAGGAGGUAGCUUGCGUCAGUGGGGUGUGAGAUCCAGGGAAUAAUGGCAGGUAGCUUGCGUCAGUGGGGUGUGAGAUCCAGGGAGUAAUAGGAGGUAGCUUGCGUCAGUGGGGUGUGAGAUCCAGGGAGUAAUAGGAGGUAGCUUGCGUCAGUGGGGUGUGAGAUCCAGGGAAUAAUGGCAGGUAGCUUGCGUCAGUGUGGUGUGAGAUCCAGGGAAUAAUGCCAGGUGUCAGUGGUGUGACUAACCUAAUCUGUGCUUCUUC
This is a long non-coding RNA of Oncorhynchus tshawytscha (Chinook salmon), 2839 nucleotides long. RefSeq lists it as uncharacterized. The transcript is spliced from 5 exons. The record is from RefSeq and is a predicted model, not a curated record. NCBI's taxonomy places the organism in Eukaryota, Metazoa, Chordata, Actinopteri, Salmoniformes, Salmonidae.